Molecule: ribosomal RNA, 497 nt
Filed under: uncultured bacterium
Lineage: Bacteria
Description: partial 16S ribosomal RNA
Rfam family: Bacterial small subunit ribosomal RNA
Source: RNAcentral
GACGAACGCUGGCGGCGUGCCUAAUACAUGCCAGUUGAGCGCUGAAGGUUGGUACUUGUACCAACUGGAUGAGCAGCGCACGGGUGAGUAACGCGUGGGGAAUCUGCCUUUGAGCGGGGGACAACAUUUGGAAACGAAUGCUAAUACCGCAUAAAAACUUUAAACACAAGUUUUAAGUUUGAAAGAUGCAAUUGCAUCACUCAAAGAUGAUCCCGCGUUGUAUUAGCUAGUUGGUGAGGUAAAGGCUCACCAAGGCGAUGAUACAUAGCCGACCUGAGAGGGUGGUCGGCCACACUGGGACUGAGACACGGCCCAAACGGCUACGGGAGGCAGCAGGAGGGAAUCGUCGGCAAUGGACGAAAGUCUGACCGAGAAACGCCGAGGGAGUGAAGAAGGUUGUCGGAUCGUAAAACUCGGUUGGUAGAGAAGAACGUUGGUGAGAGUGGAAAGCUCAUCAAGUGACGGUAACUACUCAGAAAGGGACGGCUAACUACGUG